CAAGAGGAGGAGGAUUAGGGAAAGGCAACUGCAUUGCACAAGAGGUCACUAGAGGCCUUGAAGAGGGCACUCCUGGUGAGGGGUGUCAAGGACACAGGUGCAGGCUCCUUGUGUCUUGCAUUCACAGGCAUUUGAUAGGAGCAGGGUAGCGGGAGGCUGCAGGGUUAAGCACAGCCUUGGGCCUGGAGGCCCAUGGGUGUCUCAGGUUGGGAGUCAGAAGGACCUGUGGCAUGUGGGGAGACAGAUGGUGGCGAGGUCAAGCCAGAGGUGUGAUGACUGUGGCUGAUUCCUGUCCCCUGCAGGGCUCAACAUUGGCCCCGUGGUGGCCGGGGUGAUAGGGGCACGAAAGCCUCAGUACGACAUCUGGGGCAACACCGUGAACGUGGCCAGCCGCAUGGACAGCACCGGUGUACCCGACCGCAUCCAGGUCACCACAGACAUGUACCAGGUGCUGGCUGCCAACACAUACCAGCUGGAGUGCCGGGGCGUGGUCAAGGUCAAGGGCAAAGGCGAGAUGAUGACCUACUUCCUCAAUGGAGGGCCCCCGCUCAGUUAGCAGCUGUUGGCCAAUGGUGCCAGGCAGCUUGGCCUCCAGAGGCAUGGAAGCAGCUUCUCUGUGUGCUGGGGGUGGCGGGGAAGCCAUUCUCCAGCCCGCAGGGCUGCGCUGCUGAAAUUUUCCACUUGGACUCCAGAGCAGCUUCUGCCUUUGCUGGUGGGC
RNAcentral lists this small RNA (718 nucleotides) under Pongo abelii (Sumatran orangutan). Its description in RNAcentral is "retained intron". Lineage: Eukaryota; Metazoa; Chordata; Mammalia; Primates; Hominidae. The record is from RNAcentral.